AUUGAACGCUGGCGGCAUGCUUUACACAUGCAAGUCGAACGGCAGCACGGGUGCUUGCACCUGGUGGAGAGUGGCGAACGGGUGAGUAAUGCAUCGGAACGUGCCCAUGAGUGGGGGAUAGCCCGGCGAAAGCCGGAUUAAUACCGCAUACGCCCUUAGGGGGAAAGCGGGGGAUCUUCGGACCUCGCGCUAUUGGAGCGGCCGAUGUCGGAUUAGCUAGUAGGUGAGGUAAAGGCUCACCUAGGCGACGAUCCGUAGCUGGUCUGAGAGGAUGAUCAGCCACACUGGGACUGAGACACGGCCCAGACUCCUACGGGAGGCAGCAGUGGGGAAUUUUGGGACAAUGGGCGCAAGCCUGAUCCAGCCAUGCCGCGUGAGUGAAGAAGGCCUCGG
Molecule: ribosomal RNA, 393 nt
Filed under: uncultured bacterium
Lineage: Bacteria
Description: bacterial SSU rRNA
Rfam family: Bacterial small subunit ribosomal RNA
Source: RNAcentral